Long non-coding RNA from Pocillopora damicornis (cauliflower coral), 1455 nucleotides. RefSeq lists it as uncharacterized. The record is from RefSeq and is a predicted model, not a curated record. Lineage: Eukaryota; Metazoa; Cnidaria; Anthozoa; Scleractinia; Pocilloporidae.
UUAUGAGGAUGUGUUGAAUAAGGUGUUUUGAGAAUAUGAUAAUGAGGUUUGGCUUUGUGACACUACCUUGAUACCAGUGCUCUUUGCUCGUCAGCCCAGCUAACGGCAUCAAACCAAGUGUGAUUAUUUUGAAUAACACAGGGUUUAACAAACUUAAGGUAAAUUUCAGAAUUUGUAGGGAGAGGAACCCGAGGACUUAAGUUGUAGAUUAGUGAACAGUCUACAAUGGCGUUUGUGGAAAUUUUAAUCUUCGCUAUGGUUUUAGCUGGAAGUACUACAACGAUUGUGACUCUUUUUACACAUUGUAAUGGCGGCCACGAUGGAGAGAAGCACAGAAAAUUAACACCGGAAGGAGAGACGACUUCAAAAAACAGAUAUGUAUGAAGUGGCAAGGCUUGUCAAGAUUUGUACCGGACUGAACUGAUCUUUAUAAUCGCAUACUCACAAGGGAAGCUUGUUACAAAUGGCGAAAACUCAUUGGGUUUUGUGGAUUGCAGUAAAACCAUUUUAUGAAUUUCAUUUCCUCAGGCCAGAAUAAAUUUACAUACCGGCCUUGAGCUGUGGUUGCCAGUGAAACCAAGAUUAUUGUCCAAAUAUUAGUUGAUAAUUUCUUAAUUAAUAUACAUCAUUCUAUCAUUUACCUUGUAUUUAAGGCCGUAUAAGAAUACAGAAACGUUUUUUGCUCGUGGAGAAUUGAGAGUGGUUAAUGUAUUUGCCCAAACGCCUUUUAAGGUACGUUUUGGUUAAGUUUCCAGGGAAACCAGUCUUGCCUUAAAGCAUUUAGGCAAAAUUUAUUCAGGAGAAGCCAGAAUGAUGGGCGCACAUUCAACUCGCGUCACAAAAGCAGAGAUAUAGUUUUACGGUUAUCUUUAAUGAAAGACGUUAUCUCGGAGUUCUCUCACAAGAAAGUUUGUACCAAAAAGAAGAAUAGAAUCCACUGCUACAGUCAUGCUGGUGUUUGAAUCAAUUCUGAUUGGUGUCUGUACAAUGAUUGGUGCGCUGGCUGCAGUACUGGCCGUCUCCCAUUGGAAAUGUAGAAAAUCUAAUAACAAGGAGGGAACCCGAAAGAAAGAGUGAUACAAGAAAAUUUUUGGUACUCGUAUAGGAACAUUAUUUGAGAAGCUUUUGUAAUUAUAUCUAUCUUAAUUUUUGAUUCCACCAUGCAGACUACUGGACAAAUAACAAGCGAUUUCAUCCGCGUUUCAUUUAAGACCACCGGUUACUUGGAGGGUGAAACACCUUGGAGUUAAACAUUCCAGAAUUUGAUCAGCCUUAAAGUUUUCUUUAACCACAAGCGUCACAUGGAAACACAUGAGCUAAUUUGUUUGGGGCGAUAUGAAAGAACAAAUUUACCUUGCUGAUAUUGUACAUAGCUUGCUAUCCAUCAUAGACCAAUAACUGUAAAACUACGAAAUCAUUUAAUCAAGUAAAGUUUGCCUUAUGUCAGAUUAGAAA